This 1301-nucleotide long non-coding RNA is filed under the name Homo sapiens (human). RNAcentral's name for it is "HSALNT0237584". The record is from RNAcentral. Lineage: Eukaryota; Metazoa; Chordata; Mammalia; Primates; Hominidae.
GGAAAGGCAAAUUUGCUAUCUAUUCUUUAGCUGGGCUAUCCAUCUUCUCCUGUCCUUGGACAGUGGAGCUCCUGGUUCUCAGGCCUUUGGACUUGGACUGAAUUAUAGCUUUACAGAUGGCAUAGCAUUGGGCUUCUUGCUCUCUAUAAUCUGAUAUGCCAAUUCCUGUAAUAAAUUUUGUCUUAUUUAUCUCUGUCUAUAUCCUAUUGGUACAGUUUCUCUGGAGAACCCUCACUAAUAUAUAUAUUCCUGCUAAUCUAUCAUCAAAUCUCCUCCAUUCUUUCUCCAAUCCCCCUCGUGUUUCCUCCAAGUCUGCUACUACAUGGGUCUAGGUCACUAUUGUUUUGCCCAGAUUUCCAGAAUUCCCGCCUUCCCUCCUAGUCACACUUCAUUCUUUUAGUUCUUGCCUUUUAGCAUGCGUCUUCCUAUCUGAGUCCUUGCACAUCCUGUUUCCUCUACCUGAAAUCUUCAUUUCUCUGCUCUUCACCUAGUUAAGCUUGUUCACCUUCCAGACCACUCCACUGCACUGCAACUUGGAGAAGUCUUUCCUCAUACCCCUGAGCAAGGCAGGCCCUUCUUUUAGGCUCUCUUAUAGCACCAACUCUUUACUUGCAAACUUUUGUCACAGUUACAUUUUAUAUUUUAAUUAAUUAAUGUCUGCCUUCUCUAUCAAGGAGAUCAAGAGGAAAGGAGGAGUUCUUUGUUUUAGCCCCUGGUGCCUUGUAGAGUACACAGGACAGAGUUGAUAAAUAGUUAUUUAAUGAAUGCAUAGAAAUAUAAAUAACACAAGUGUUAAGUUCGCAGGAAGAAGAAAGCUUCUGUGCCAAUUGUAGUCAGAGGAGCUGGAACACCCGCAAAUUUCAAGACCUCUCUUCUAAGGGCUUCCAAGAACAGAUGUGGGAUCUAGGAAGCCAGUGACUACAGUGAAUAAUCUGCUCUGCAAAUCCCACUCUCCAGGAACAGAGGGAUGACCGUAGAGAGGAGUGUUUUCCAUCUAUUAAGUCCAAUGAUACUGAUAACAGAUUAGAAAUACAAUCUUCAAUGUGAUAGCCCUUGGCCACCUCUCGCUACUGAGCCAUGGAGAUGUGACUGGUCUGAACUGUGAUAUGCUGGGAAUGUAAAAUAUACACUGGAUUUGAACUUAGUAGAAGGAAAGCUAAAUUUCAUAAUAAUAUAAUAAUUAUUUUUUUGAGAUGAAGUCUCACUCUAUUGCCCAGGCCGGAGUCCAAUGGUGUGAUUUUGGCUCACUGCAACCUCUGCCUCCCAGGUUCAAGAGAUUCUUCUGCCUCGGCCUCACAAGU